This 309-nucleotide long non-coding RNA is filed under the name Mytilus galloprovincialis (Mediterranean mussel). Lineage: Eukaryota; Metazoa; Mollusca; Bivalvia; Mytilida; Mytilidae. The record is from RNAcentral.
GUGGAAAGGGGGGGGGUACUUAUGAUUUAAUGUCAAAACCAAGUAACACAAGUAGUAAGAAAUGCAUUUUAUUUAUACUAUUUGGCCUCUGGCACAACAAUAUGCACGUUUUAAGUGGUAUUGGCAGAAAUUCUAAGAAAUAGUUGCUGAAAGUUACUGACAUAUUGACAAUGUUAACUGUUUGUAUCCGUUUUUCGUAGAAACUAAUCAUAAGAAAACUUAUUGAACCUUCAUUUUAUAAAGCUCAAAACAUAACUGAAAGAAAACAAUCCAUUAAGAACCGAUUUUUGCAGUUUAUAGAAACCAAAC